RNAcentral lists this ribosomal RNA (540 nucleotides) under uncultured Verrucomicrobiota bacterium. Its description in RNAcentral is "bacterial SSU rRNA". It matches the Rfam family "Bacterial small subunit ribosomal RNA", at positions 8 to 522 of the family's 1533-position model. The record is from RNAcentral. Lineage: Bacteria; Pseudomonadati; Verrucomicrobiota.
AGAGUUUGAUCUGGCUCAGAACGAACGCUGGCGGCGUGGAUAAGACAUGCAAGUCGAGCGCUGAUUACAAGGUAGCAAUAUUUUGUAGUUGGAGCGGCGCAAGGGUGCGUAACACGUGGGUAAUCUGCCAUGAAGUUUGGGAUAACUUGCUGAAAGGCGAGCUAAUACCGGAUGUGAAAAUUGGAAGGCAUCUUUUGAUUUUCAAAGCUGGGGACCGUAAGGCCUGGCGCUUCAUGAUGAGCCCGCGGCCUAUCAGCUAGUUGGUAAGGUAACGGCUUACCAAGGCUAAGACGGGUAGCUGGUCUGAGAGGACGACCAGCCACACUGGAACUGAGACACGGUCCAGACACCUACGGGUGGCAGCAGUCGAGAAUUUUUCACAAUGGGCGCAAGCCUGAUGGAGCGACGCCGCGUGGGGGAUGAAUGGCUUCGGCCCGUAAACCCCUGUCAUUUGCGAACAAAUUGGUUCACUUAAUACCUGAACCAUUGAUAGUAGCGAAAGAGGAAGGGACGGCUAACUCUGUGCCAGCAGCCGCGGUA